ACCUGCCCUAUGAAUAAUUUGCUUUUAAAUGGCUGCGGUACUCUGACCGUGCAAAGGUAGCAUAAUAAUUAGUUUCUUAAUUGGGAACUGGAAUGAAUGGUCGAACGAGAAAAAGACUGUCUCAAUUUAAUUUAAAUUAGAAUUUUAUUUUUAAGUAAAAAAGCUUAAAUGUUCUUAAAAGACGAGAAGACCCUAUAGAGUUUUAUAUAAGUUAUUAUAAUUGAAAGUUAAAGUAUCUAAGAUUUGAUUAUAAUAAUUUAUAUUUGGUUGGGGCGAUUAAAAAAUUUAAUAAACUUUUUUUAAAUUAAACCAUUAAUUUAUGAGUAGGUGAUCCAUAUUUUAUGAUUAAAAGAUU
This 355-nucleotide ribosomal RNA is filed under the name Arachnodes andriai. RNAcentral describes it as "partial 16S ribosomal RNA". The stretch from base 1 to 168 matches the Rfam family "Archaeal large subunit ribosomal RNA", at positions 1949 to 2143 of the family's 2987-position model. The record is from RNAcentral. Lineage: Eukaryota; Metazoa; Arthropoda; Insecta; Coleoptera; Scarabaeidae.